AACGAACGCUGGCGGCAUGCCUAACACAUGCAAGUCGAACGAAGUCUCCGGACUUAGUGGCGUCCGAGUGCGUAACGCGUGGGAAUCUGCCCUUGGGUACGGCAUAACUCAGAGACAUUUGUGCUUAUACCGUAUAAUGUCUUCGGACCAAUGAUUUAUCGCACCAGGAUGUGCCCGCGUAAGAUUAGCUCGUUGGUGUGUUAAAAGACUACCAAGGCGACGAUCUUUAGCUGGUCAUUGAGGAUGAUCAGCCACACUGGGACUGAGACACGGCCCAGACUCCUACGAGAGGCAGCAGUGGGGAAUAGUGGACAGUGGGCGGAAGGCUGAUCGAGCAAUGACGCGAGAGUGAUGAAAGACGUAGGGUUGUAAAGCGCUUGUACCAGGGAAGAUAAUGACAGUACCUGAAGAAAAAGCGCCGGCUAACUCCGUG
RNAcentral lists this ribosomal RNA (433 nucleotides) under uncultured bacterium. RNAcentral's name for it is "partial 16S ribosomal RNA". It matches the Rfam family "Bacterial small subunit ribosomal RNA", at positions 29 to 507 of the family's 1533-position model. The record is from RNAcentral.